RNAcentral lists this ribosomal RNA (253 nucleotides) under uncultured bacterium. RNAcentral describes it as "partial 16S ribosomal RNA". It matches the Rfam family "Bacterial small subunit ribosomal RNA", at positions 524 to 776 of the family's 1533-position model. The record is from RNAcentral.
UACGUAAGUGGCGAGCGUUAUCCGGAAUUACUGGGCGUAAAGCGUGCGUAGGCGGUUUAGUGUGUGGGAAUUGAAAGCCCGGGGCUCAACUCCGGAUCCGGUUCCCAAACUGCUAGACUCGAGAGUAUCAGAGGAGAGCGGAAUUCCCGGUGUAGCGGUAAUAUGCGUAGAUAUCAGGAGGAACACCGGUGGCGAAGGCGGAUCUCUGGGCCGAUACUGACGCUGAGGAGCGAAAGCGUGGGGAGCGAACAGG